GAUGAACGCUGGCGGCGUGCCUAAUACAUGCAAGUCGAGCGAACAGACGAGGAGCUUGCUCCUCUGACGUUAGCGGCGGACGGGUGAGUAACACGUGGAUAACCUACCUAUAAGACUGGGAUAACUUCGGGAAACCGGAGCUAAUACCGGAUAAUAUAUUGAACCGCAUGGUUCAAUAGUGAAAGACGGUUUUGCUGUCACUUAUAGAUGGAUCCGCGCCGCAUUAGCUAGUUGGUAAGGUAACGGCUUACCAAGGCAACGAUGCGUAGCCGACCUGAGAGGGUGAUCAGCCACACUGGAACUGAGACACGGUCCAGACUACUACGGGAGGCAGCAGUAGGGAAUCUUCCGCAAUGGGCGAAAGCCUGACGGAGCAACGCCGCGUGAGUGAUGAAGGUCUUCGGAUCGUAAAACUCUGUUAUUAGGGAAGAACAAAUGUGUAAGUAACUAUGCACGUCUUGACGGUACCUAAUCAGAAAGCCACGGCUAACUACGUG
Molecule: ribosomal RNA, 497 nt
Filed under: uncultured bacterium
Lineage: Bacteria
Description: partial 16S ribosomal RNA
Rfam family: Bacterial small subunit ribosomal RNA
Source: RNAcentral